Vidua chalybeata is the source of this 458-nucleotide long non-coding RNA. RefSeq lists it as uncharacterized. The record is from RefSeq and is a predicted model, not a curated record. The transcript is spliced from 2 exons. Lineage: Eukaryota; Metazoa; Chordata; Aves; Passeriformes; Viduidae.
GCCUGCAGGAGACGCGAGGCGGAGGCGGCGUGGCGAAGCGGGGCAGCCUCGGAAAGGGCAGAGCCCUGCCAGGUGCUGCAAGCUGUCCCACUGCUGCUUUCACCCUUCCUUGCUUCACAGUCAUCAUCAUCAGAAUCCAACAGAGAAACACCUACAACACCAGUACUAAAGCCGAGCUCAAACACUAAGGACUGUGCCCCUCGUGAAAGAGGAGACCAAGAACAGCACUGCUUCUGAUGGGAAGAUCAAAGCCAAAGGAGAAUGAGUUAUUAACCCACUAAACAAAAAUCUGGGGAUUCUGAGCGCUACAAAACAAAGGUUAUAGGAGCAAAUGGAAGUUUAUGAAGUUCAUGUGUCCACGUAUAAACAAGAGUAUCUCUAUGUCUGCUAGAAAAGCUGUUCAGAAAACUGAUUUUCAUGUAAUCAUAAAAAAUAAUAAAUUUCUAGUUUUCAGUCUA